RNAcentral lists this long non-coding RNA (241 nucleotides) under Daucus carota (carrot). RNAcentral's name for it is "long non-coding RNA (DCAR_LNC003946)". The record is from RNAcentral. Lineage: Eukaryota; Viridiplantae; Streptophyta; Magnoliopsida; Apiales; Apiaceae.
CUCCCUCCGUCCCACAAUACAUGUCUCUUUUGGAAAAAUUACGCAUAUUAAGAAAGCAUUGAUUAGAUAAAAUUUUCCCACCUCUACCCCUAAUAAAUGCAUGAAUGUAGACUCUUAUUCAACCUCCAUUAAUUGUUUUACAACUUUCAAGAAGGGUAAUUUUGGAAUAUUUGCAAUAUAUUUGCAUUGGAAACUAAAAGUAGACAUGUAUUGUGGGACAAAAAUUUCUUCCAAAAGAGAC